GUAGGUGAACCUGCGGAAGGAUCAUUAACGUUUGCAUCAAACACGCAACGUAUUGUAAAAAAUGAAAAUGAAAAAAAAUUCAAAGUUCUCUCCGUAAAAGGAGAGAAUGAGAAUGAGAAAAGAUGGAAAAAAAGUCGAACGAAUAAAAUUUGUCGAACGAAUUUUUUUUAUUAAAUAAAAAAAAAAACAAAAACAAAAAUGAAACUGAAAUGAUUACCCUGAACGGUGGAUCACUUGGCUCGU
RNAcentral lists this unclassified non-coding RNA (243 nucleotides) under rhizosphere metagenome. RNAcentral's name for it is "partial ribosomal RNA internal transcribed spacer region". The record is from RNAcentral.